RNAcentral lists this ribosomal RNA (159 nucleotides) under Garcinia gummi-gutta. RNAcentral describes it as "5.8S ribosomal RNA". It matches the Rfam family "5.8S ribosomal RNA". Rfam says of the family: 5.8S ribosomal RNA (5.8S rRNA) is a component of the large subunit of the eukaryotic ribosome. It is transcribed by RNA polymerase I as part of the 45S precursor that also contains 18S and 28S rRNA. Lineage: Eukaryota; Viridiplantae; Streptophyta; Magnoliopsida; Malpighiales; Clusiaceae. The record is from RNAcentral.
CAAAACGACUCUCGGCAACGGAUAUCUCGGCUCUUGCAUCCAUGAAGAACGUAGCGAAAUGCGAUACGUGGUGUGAAUUGCAUAAUCCCGUGAACCAUCGAGUUUUUGAACGCAAGUUGCGCCCAAAGACUUUUGGUUGAGGGCACGUCUGCCUGGGUG